Molecule: long non-coding RNA, 281 nt
Organism: Homo sapiens (human)
Lineage: Eukaryota; Metazoa; Chordata; Mammalia; Primates; Hominidae
Exons: 2
Source: RefSeq, a predicted model, not a curated record
CCUGAUUAGCUGGGACUGGAAGCAUGCACCACCAUGCCCAGAGUCAGAGGGACAUCUGACUACAGAUGAGAAGGCAUUUUACAGACAAAGGCUGACUGAAGUCAUCACGUGCUUUGAAAAUGGAAGGGGCCAUGAUAACCUGAAAUAAGCAAGAAAACAGAUUCUCCCUUCACAGCCUCCAGAAGGUACCAGUCCCGCCACCACCUUGAUUUUAGCCAUAUGACUAAUUGCAGACUCCUGAUUUCCAGAACGCUAAGAUAAUAAAUGUGUGGUUUAUGCUA